This 464-nucleotide ribosomal RNA is filed under the name uncultured Geobacteraceae bacterium. RNAcentral's name for it is "partial 16S ribosomal RNA". It matches the Rfam family "Bacterial small subunit ribosomal RNA", at positions 338 to 794 of the family's 1533-position model. The record is from RNAcentral. Lineage: Bacteria; Pseudomonadati; Thermodesulfobacteriota; Desulfuromonadia; Geobacterales; Geobacteraceae.
CCUACGGGAGGCUGCGGUCGAGAAUCUUGCGCAAUGGGCGAAAGCCUGACGCAGCGACGCCGCGUGAGGGAUGAAGGCCUUCGGGUUGUAAAGCUCUGUCAGAGGGGAAGAAAUGCAGGUGGUGAACAACCAUUCUGUUUGACGGUACCCUCAAAGGAAGCACCGGCUAACUCCGUGCCAGCAGCCGCGGUAAUACGGAGGGUGCGAGCGUUGUUCGGAAUUAUUGGGCGUAAAGCGCGUGUAGGCGGUUUGUUAAGUCUGAUGUGAAAGCCCCGGGCUCAACCCGGGAAGUGCAUUGGAUACUGGCAGACUUGAGUACGGGAGAGGAGAGUGAAAUUCCCAGUGUAGGAGUGAAAUCCGUAGAUAUUGGGAGGAACACCGGUGGCGAGGGCGGCUCUCGGGACCGAUACUGACGCUGAGACGCGAAAGCGUGGGGAGCAAACAGGAUUAGAUCCCCUUGUAGU